UAGUAAUGGCAGGUCAGCAUACUGCCGUGAAUACGUUCCCGGGCCUUGUACACACCGCCCGUCACACCAUGAGAGUUGGGAAUACCCGAAGCCUGUGAGCUAACUGUAAAGAGGCAGCAGUCGAAGGUAGAAUCAAUGAUUGGGGUGAAGUCGUAACAAGGUAUC
RNAcentral lists this ribosomal RNA (165 nucleotides) under uncultured bacterium. RNAcentral describes it as "partial 16S ribosomal RNA". It matches the Rfam family "Bacterial small subunit ribosomal RNA", at positions 1336 to 1500 of the family's 1533-position model. The record is from RNAcentral.